This 448-nucleotide ribosomal RNA is filed under the name uncultured bacterium. RNAcentral's name for it is "partial 16S ribosomal RNA". It matches the Rfam family "Bacterial small subunit ribosomal RNA", at positions 329 to 793 of the family's 1533-position model. The record is from RNAcentral.
GACCAGACUCCUACGGGAGGCAGCAGUGGGGAAUAUUGCACAAUGGGGGAAACCCUGAUGCAGCAACGCCGCGUGAGUGAGGAAGUAUUUCGGUAUGUAAAGCUCUAUCAGCAGGGAAUAGAAAAGAAGGUACCUGAAAAAGAAGCCCCGGCUAACUACGCGCCAGCAGCCGCGGUAAUACGUAGGGGGCAAGCGUUAUCCGGAUUUACUGGGUGUAAAGGGGGCGCAGACGGCAGCGCAAGCCAGGAGUGAAAGCCCGGGGCCCAACCCCGGGACUGCUCUUGGAACUGCGCGGCUGGAGUGCAGGAGGGGCAGGCGGAAUUCCUGGUGUAGCGGUGAAAUGCGUAGAUAUCAGGAGGAACACCGGUGGCGAAGGCGGCCUGCUGGACUGCGACUGACGUUGAGGCUCGAAAGCGUGGGGAGCGAACAGGAUUAGAUACCCCUGUAC